ACGUAUGGGGCGAGCGUUAUUCGGAUUUAUUGGGCGUAAAGCGUAUGUCGGGGGCUUGUUAAGUCGAGGGUGAAAUUUUCCUGCUCAACAUGAAAAUUGCUUUCGAAACUGGCAAGCUGGAGUUUUGGAGAGGAGAUUGGAAUUCCAGGUGUAGGGGUGAAAUCUGUAGAUAUCUGGAAGAACACCAGUGGCGAAGGCGAAUCUCUGGCCAAAAACUGACCCUUAGAUACGAAAGCCAGGGGAGCAAACGGGAUUAGAUACCCCGGUAGUCCUGGCCAUAAACGUUGAUCACUAGGUGAUGGAGGUAUUCACUUUCAUUGCCAAAGCUAACGCGUUAAGUGAUCCGCCUGGGGAGUACGCUGGCAACAGUG
RNAcentral lists this ribosomal RNA (371 nucleotides) under uncultured bacterium. RNAcentral's name for it is "bacterial SSU rRNA". It matches the Rfam family "Bacterial small subunit ribosomal RNA", at positions 525 to 896 of the family's 1533-position model. The record is from RNAcentral.